RNAcentral lists this unclassified non-coding RNA (185 nucleotides) under rhizosphere metagenome. RNAcentral describes it as "partial ribosomal RNA internal transcribed spacer region". The record is from RNAcentral.
GAGUUCAUGCCCUUCGGGGUAGACCUCCCACCCUAUGUAUACAUUGCCUUUGUUGCUUUGGCGGACCGCCUUCGGGCCACCGGCUCCGGCUGGUGCGCGUCCGCCAGAGGACCAAACUCUGAAUAUUAGUGAUGUCUGAGUACUAUAUAAUAGUUAAAACUUUCAACAACGGAUCUCUUGGUUCU